This 202-nucleotide ribosomal RNA is filed under the name uncultured fungus. Its description in RNAcentral is "partial small subunit ribosomal RNA". It matches the Rfam family "Eukaryotic small subunit ribosomal RNA", at positions 1371 to 1574 of the family's 1831-position model. The record is from RNAcentral. Lineage: Eukaryota; Fungi.
GGUGUAGCGCGGCGCGCAGCUUUGGCUGGUCGCCGGCUUCUUAGAGGGACAUCAGCAUCUACCUGAGGGAAGUUGGAGGCAUUACCAGGUCGGUGAGGCCCUUAAAGGUUCGGGGCCGCACGCCCGCUCCACGGACAAACCCACCAAGUUAAUACCCUUGCCCGGAAGGUUGGGGUAAUCUGGUAAAAUUCGGCCGGGCUGG